RNAcentral lists this ribosomal RNA (500 nucleotides) under uncultured bacterium. RNAcentral describes it as "partial 16S ribosomal RNA". It matches the Rfam family "Bacterial small subunit ribosomal RNA", at positions 30 to 523 of the family's 1533-position model. The record is from RNAcentral.
AUUGAACGCUGGCGGAAUGCUUUACACAUGCAAGUCGAACGGCAGCACGGACUUCGGUCUGGUGGCGAGUGGCGAGCGGGUGAGUAAUAUAUCGGAACGUGCCCAGUCGUGGGGGAUAACGUAGCGAAAGCUACGCUAAUACCGCAUACGAUCUACGGAUGAAAGCGGGGGAUCGCAAGACCUCGCGCGAUUGGAGCGGCCGAUAUCAGAUUAGGUAGUUGGUGAGGUAAAGGCUCACCAAGCCGACGAUCUGUAGCUGGUCUGAGAGGACGACCGGACACACUGGGACGGGGACACGGCCCAGACUCCUACGGGAGGCAGCAGUGGGGAAUUUUGGACAAUGGACGCAAGUCUGAUCCAGCCAUUCCGCGUGCAGGACGAAGGCCUUCGGGUUGUAAACUGCUUUUGUACAGAACGAAAAGGUCUCUAUUAAUACUAGGGGCUCAUGACGGUACUGUAAGAAUAAGCACCGGCUAACUACGUGCCAGCAGCCGCCGUAA